GUUUGUAGCUCAGCGGUAGAGUGCUUGCCUAGCACAUGUGAGGUCUUGGGUUCAAUCCUCAACGAAAAAUA
RNAcentral lists this transfer RNA (71 nucleotides) under Marmota monax (woodchuck). RNAcentral describes it as "tRNA.Ala". The record is from RNAcentral. Lineage: Eukaryota; Metazoa; Chordata; Mammalia; Rodentia; Sciuridae.